Molecule: signal recognition particle RNA, 267 nt
Filed under: bacterium
Lineage: Bacteria
Description: signal recognition particle sRNA large type
Rfam family: Bacterial large signal recognition particle RNA
About the family: The signal recognition particle (SRP) is a universally conserved ribonucleoprotein involved in the co-translational targeting of proteins to membranes. Archaeal SRP consists of a 7S RNA and homologues of the eukaryotic SRP19 and SRP54 proteins.
Source: RNAcentral
CUGUGCUAGAUGGGGAGCUAGCGGUGCCCUGUAACCUGCAACCCGCUCCAGCAGGAUCGAACUCCCAUUCUGAGGUCUGCUUAUUUCCCUGCACUUCCGUGGUCAGCAACGUUGAUCAUUCAAGCCCCACGCAAUAGAAAGGUGCCCAACCCCGCCAGGAUCGGAAGAGAGCAACGGUAAGCAUUCUGACUUUGUGCCGUGGGAGUACUUGAACGGAGUUGUGAACCGCGGUCCCAGGAAACAGAGGGAUCGAAGAUGGGUGCACAG